Long non-coding RNA from Spea bombifrons (plains spadefoot toad), 436 nucleotides. RefSeq lists it as uncharacterized. NCBI's taxonomy places the organism in Eukaryota, Metazoa, Chordata, Amphibia, Anura, Pelobatidae. The record is from RefSeq and is a predicted model, not a curated record. The transcript is spliced from 2 exons.
AACACCUAACCAAAGAGCUCUGCAGCCUGUAUUUGCUUUUUAAACAUUUGUUUGUUCAGGCUGCACAAACCCAGAAUAAAAUACCGAAGGAGAGCUCGAGCUGUUUGGAUGACAUUUACAGACCUGUACGGCUAAAGGGGAGGACACAUUACCAUUCUCUAAGGGCUAACACGGCAUGUCAGGGGACCACACAAUAUGCCAGACAAACAAACUGCAGCUUUAACAUUCUUCUGCAGCACACAAUACUGCAAUCAGCAUAGGGGCAAUUUUCCGUUUUUUAUUAUUUAUUUCUAUAAAUAGAUUCAAGUGGGAAAAAAAAUGGACAUGGAAGAAAAGCAAUCAAUGUUUUUGACAGUUCCUUUCUAUUUCAUUGUUUCUUUUUGGUCAGCCUGCAGUGUAUUAUGGAUGGCUACUUUCAGUUUUUUUUUUGUUUUUU